AGGCCGAUCUCGAACUUCUGACCUCAUGAUCUGCCUGUCUCAGCCUCCCAAAGGGCUGGGAUUACAAGCAUGAGCCACCAGGCCCAGCCAGUAAUUGAUUUAAAUGAUCAUGCUAAGGUAUUUGUUAGUGCCAGGUAUAUGUUUCCAAAUUAAUAAAGCACUUCAGGUGUUUCAUCUUUGCAAAAUUGCAAGUUAAACUUUAUAAUAUUACUUGUUCCUUAUGGAAUCAAAAUUUAGUGUUGUCAUGCAACCUAUUUUUAAUUUUCUUUUGUUUUCCCCAGAACCUUAACUGUUUUGACAUGAAUAAUCUUUUGACAGGAACACUGAAUACUAAGGUACUCACUGUAGGCAAAAUUUUUCUGUGAUGCCCUAACUCUGACUAUAAUUGAAGUUAUGAGUGUAAAGCACCUACAUCUUUUCAUAAUGUGUGGCAUUUAAGUUAGUUUAUAUUUUCUUCUUACAAUUACAAAACCGAGUUUUAUUUAUCUUAUUAAAACAAAAACUUGCAGCAAACAUAGGAAAUCUUUGAUAUUGGGCACACAUUCAUUCAGGGACCAACCUUGACUAUCUUUCCUUUCAUCAGUAAUUAUCGUGGGUACUUUAUCGCUGCAUUUCCUGACUCAAACCUGAUAACAUCUCCAAUUCAUGGUUACGCUAAUAUAGUUUGCAUAUAUCAGGUAAUUAGUUCCACCUUCUAGAGUCGCUGAGUCACAACACUGUAGUCAGUCUGUUUCGCUUUACCACAUAACGGAAAUAGACAAAUCAUUUCAGCACUCCUACGUGAAACUGCCUCUGGGUAAGCUGAAUGUAGGUCACAACUGAUAGGUCUGUGAUGAGAAGCCACGAUUUCAGGGUACCCUGUCACCUGCUUGUUGGAUUUAACCUUAGCCUCUCUAAAACAAGGCUUUCUUGUUCCAGUGAAAAUUUGCCAACAUAAUAAAACUAAACAUUUUGAAGUGAAUAACAUUUAAAAAGUAUAUACAAAAACUUUACAGACCUUAUGCCAUUUAAUCUUAAAACAAAUUGGUGAGUUAUCUUCAUCUGCAAGAUGAGGAAUACAAGCUCAAAGAAGUUCAAUUGGCUUGCUCAAGGUGGAGUUAGGAUUAGAACACAGGCUACCAUAACCCCAAAGCCAGUUGUUCCCAAAUUACUUGAGUAUCAGAAUCAUCUGAAAAAUUAUAUAUAUAGAUUUCUAGGCCAUCUCUGCAUAGUCUCCCUCUGUAAGUCUAUUCAUAUUUGUGGUUUGUUUUUAUUUUCUAGGUGGACUUCAGCCAAGAAAAGAAACUAAACCAAACCAUUUUUAUAAGCCAAGGAAUGCGUUAAGUGGUAUAAUAAAUAUUAUAGCAGCUUAUCUUGAGCUGGCUUUCUGAAGUAAUUAUUUUCUCUGUCAGGCAAAUAAUAUGGAAAGAAUAAGAGAGACUGAGGUAGUGUAGCUACAGUGAUGGGCUUAUAAACCGCCUCCCAGUAAAUGGGAGAAGACCUGAUUUAUGGCAUCUGCUGAUUUCGGUGGUGUAAAUACUCCUACUAUGGCCAAUUUCAAACUACUGGUAACUUUAACAACUUGCUAACAACAUUCUUGAAUAUCUAAUGAUUGGCCCAUGAGUCAGCUCCAACAUAUUACUGGCAUGUAGACUGAAUAGGGGAGAAACUGAACAAUUUCCCAGCAUUAUCUGAAUUGUCCAUUAUGUGGUUUGAAUUGGUGUAAAUUCCCCAAACGUUACCCUACCUGUUGGUCUCGUGCUGAUUUUCAAAGGUGGCUCAGUGUCCCCCAAGUCCUCAUUUCUCAAUUUCCACAUACGCUUUAUAUGGAUCUAGGGCAGAAUGAAACCACGGAUGGAGACUACUGGGUAGAGCACUUCCUAGAAGAGAAAUAGAUGCCAUCUUUAAGAUGACUGCUCCUUUGCUCUUACCUGCCACAUGGCAGGGGUAGCAGCAUGGGGGGCUGCCUCCUGUGUGAGAGCAUCAGGGUGGGAAUGAAACAUGACACAGGAUUUAAAGAAGCUUGGCUCGGAUGUGAGGGCGAUCUGGCUGUGACAUCUGUCACCCCAUUGAUCGCCAGGGUUGAUUCGGCUGAUCUGGCCGGCUAGGCGGGUGUCCCCUUCCUCCCUCACCGCUCCAUGUGCGUCCCUCCCAAAGCUGCACGCUCGGUCGAAGAGGACGACCAUCCCCGAUAGAGGAGGACCGUCCUGUAGGGAAAGUAUA
Long non-coding RNA from Cebus imitator (Panamanian white-faced capuchin), 2202 nucleotides. RefSeq lists it as uncharacterized. The transcript has 3 exons. Lineage: Eukaryota; Metazoa; Chordata; Mammalia; Primates; Cebidae. The record is from RefSeq and is a predicted model, not a curated record.